RNAcentral lists this ribosomal RNA (483 nucleotides) under uncultured bacterium. RNAcentral's name for it is "partial 16S ribosomal RNA". It matches the Rfam family "Bacterial small subunit ribosomal RNA", at positions 30 to 507 of the family's 1533-position model. The record is from RNAcentral.
AUUGAACGCUGGCGGCAGGCCUAACACAUGCAAGUCGAGCGGAUGAAGGGAGCUUGCUCCUGGAUUCAGCGGCGGACGGGUGAGUAAUGCCUAGGAAUCUGCCUGGUAGUGGGGGAUAACGUCCGGAAACGGGCGCUAAUACCGCAUACGUCCUGAGGGAGAAAGUGGGGGAUCUUCGGACCUCACGCUAUCAGAUGAGCCUAGGUCGGAUUAGCUAGUUGUGGGGUAAAGGCCUACCGAGGCGACGAUCCGUAACUGGUCUGAGAGGAUGAUCAGUCACACUGGAACUGAGACACGGUCCAGACUCCUACGGGAGGCAGCAGUGGGGAAUAUUGGACAAUGGGCGAAAGCCUGAUCCAGCCAUGCCGCGUGUGUGAAGAAGGUCUUCGGAUUGUAAAGCACUUUAAGUUGGGAGGAAGGGCAGUAAGUUAAUACCUUGCUGUUUUGACGUUACCAACAGAAUAAGCACCGGCUAACUUCGUG